AGGACGAACGCUGGCGGCACGCCUAACACAUGCAAGUCGAACGGAGAUUGAGAGCUUGCUCUUAAAUCUUAGUGGCGGACGGGUGAGUAACACGUGAGCAACCUGCCUCUGAGAGAGGGAUAGCUUCUGGAAACGGAUGGUAAUACCUCAUAACAUUACAUGACCGCAUGAUCGUGUAAUCAAAGAUUUAUCACUCAGAGAUGGGCUCGCGUCUGAUUAGCUAGUUGGUGAGGUAACGGCCCACCAAGGCGACGAUCAGUAGCCGGACUGAGAGGUUGAACGGCCACAUUGGGACUGAGACACGGCCCAGACUCCUACGGGAGGCAGCAGUGAGGGAUAUUGCACAAUGGAGGAAACUCUGAAUGCAGCGAUGCCGCGUGGAGGAAGAAGGUUUUCGGAUUGUAAACUCCUGUUUCGAGGGACGAUAAUGACGGUACCUCGGGAGGAAGCUCCGGCUAACUACGUGCCAGCAGCAGC
Molecule: ribosomal RNA, 477 nt
Filed under: uncultured bacterium
Lineage: Bacteria
Description: bacterial SSU rRNA
Rfam family: Bacterial small subunit ribosomal RNA
Source: RNAcentral